This 74-nucleotide transfer RNA is filed under the name Cytobacillus firmus. RNAcentral describes it as "tRNA-Arg". It matches the Rfam family "tRNA". From Rfam's summary of the family: Transfer RNA (tRNA) molecules are approximately 80 nucleotides in length. Their secondary structure includes four short double-helical elements and three loops (D, anti-codon, and T loops). Further hydrogen bonds mediate the characteristic L-shaped molecular structure. tRNAs have two regions of fundamental functional importance: the anti-codon, which is responsible for specific mRNA codon recognition, and the 3' end, to which the tRNAs corresponding amino acid is attached (by aminoacyl-tRNA synthetases). tRNAs cope with the degeneracy of the genetic code in two manners: having more than one tRNA (with a specific anti-codon) for a particular amino acid; and 'wobble' base-pairing, i.e. permitting non-standard base-pairing at the 3rd anti-codon position. The record is from RNAcentral. RNAcentral also lists the same sequence under 14 other names. Lineage: Bacteria; Bacillati; Bacillota; Bacilli; Caryophanales; Bacillaceae.
GUCCCAGUAGCUCAGCUGGAUAGAGCGACAGCCUCCUAAGCUGUAGGUCGUGAGUUCGAAUCUCGCCUGGGACG